RNAcentral lists this ribosomal RNA (775 nucleotides) under uncultured Neocallimastigales. Its description in RNAcentral is "partial large subunit ribosomal RNA". It matches the Rfam family "Eukaryotic large subunit ribosomal RNA", at positions 24 to 616 of the family's 3401-position model. Lineage: Eukaryota; Fungi; Neocallimastigomycota; Neocallimastigomycetes; Neocallimastigales. The record is from RNAcentral.
UACGACUACAUAUCAGGCAUAUCAAUAAGCGGAGGAAAAGAAACUAACUAGGAUUCCCUUAGUAACGGCGAGUGAAGCGGGAAGAGCUCAAAUUUGAAAUCUUCAAGGUUUUACCUUGACGAAUUGUAGUUUAAAGAAGUGUUUUCUGUUGGAGUUUUGGUAAAAGUUCUUUGGAAUAGGACAUCAUAGAGGGUGAGAAUCCCGUAUUUGACCAUUAUUUCCAGCUUUGUGAUACACUUUCAAAGAGUCGGAUUGUUUGGGAAUGCAGUCCAAAAUGGGUGGUAAAUUUCAUCUAAAGCUAAAUAUUGGCGAGAGACCGAUAGCGAACAAGUACCGUGAGGGAAAGAUGAAAAGAACUUUGAAAAGAGAGUUAAACAGUACGUGAAAUUGUCAAAAGGGAAGCGUUUGACACCAGUGUUGUUUUCUCGAAAAUCAAUUAAAAAGAGUUGGAUUUUGUGUUGUAUUGACCUUAACAGCUUGCUUCACUCUUUUCCAGCUUUUUUUAAUGCACUUUUCGUUUAACAAGUCAACAGUCAGUUUCUUUUGUUGUAAAAGGGUCAUUGGAAGGUGGCUUUCUCUUCGGAGAAAGUGUUUAUAGCCUUUGAUCUCUGCAAUCGGAGAGACUGAGGUCUGCAGCGUAGAUCCUUCGGGGUUAGAUACAUUUGUGCUAAGCUACAGCUUUUCAUAGACAACUUGUUGACUAUGUUUAGUCUUGUGACUUACCCGCUUAUGCUAUUUUACCUACGCUUAGGAUGUUGAGCGCAUGUCUCUCUCU